This is a long non-coding RNA of Anolis carolinensis (green anole), 675 nucleotides long. RefSeq lists it as uncharacterized. The record is from RefSeq and is a predicted model, not a curated record. The transcript is spliced from 3 exons. Lineage: Eukaryota; Metazoa; Chordata; Lepidosauria; Squamata; Anolidae.
UCUGUGUGUUUUGAAACCAUCUUCUUCAUUCCAAAAGUGGAUAGGCUACAAAACAAGAUGACAGCCACAUCAACAUCAACAUCAAGUCUGCAAUUCUGCAUGAGAAGCUGGGAUAAAACAUCUGCAAGCAGGCUGAUCUUUUUUGCUUGUUUAAAAAGUUGUCAUCUAACAUUUUAAGAAAUGCAUUUGAGAACAUCUGUUAAGAUCCUUUCUCAUGAAGACCCUUCCAAGAAGACAACAACUGAAGAUGAUUCUGGUACAACUAGUCUGGGAUCCAGUAAACAAGAUGCUAUUAGGAAGUCCAGGACACAAAGAAUGACCUUCGACUUAUCAACGGGUCAUGCAAAAAUCCAUACUUUUAGUUCCAAAACCUGCCACUGACUAAUACAUGAUGUCAACUCUUUGUUACUAUAUGUUACUUUCAACAUUGCAGGAGCUGUGUGAAGUCAUAUGAGUACAAGGAAUUAGGAAUGGGAAAGGUUUGGUUAUAUGUCUACAACUUCCUGGAUCUCCAAUCAGCAUGAUCUCCACAGGCAAAAAAAAUUGGAACUUGUAGACCAAAGAAACAAUUUCAUCAGCGAUUUCACUCACAUACCAAUGCUUCAUCAAUUUCACAAACAUUUGCUGAGGUAUUUGGCUGUCCCAUUUCUAACUAAAUAUUUUCACUACCUUUAA